GUGAAUUUGUCGCCUCCAAGGCUCACAUUCUCUAUCCUUUACACACCUGUGCACCCUUCUGAAGCGGAGAGUUAUUAGGCAUUAGCCGAGCGCCUCCCUUCGGUUAUUAUAUAUCAACCUCAAACUACGUUUACUAGAAUGUAUACCGUCUUGUUGUAACGACAAGUACAAUCCAAUA
RNAcentral lists this unclassified non-coding RNA (178 nucleotides) under uncultured Geminibasidium. Its description in RNAcentral is "sequence contains ITS1". Lineage: Eukaryota; Fungi; Basidiomycota; Geminibasidiomycetes; Geminibasidiales; Geminibasidiaceae. The record is from RNAcentral.